This 1240-nucleotide ribosomal RNA is filed under the name metagenome. RNAcentral's name for it is "bacterial LSU rRNA". It matches the Rfam family "Bacterial large subunit ribosomal RNA", at positions 1649 to 2913 of the family's 2925-position model. The record is from RNAcentral.
CCACCGACACAGGUGGACUAGCAGAGUAUGCUGAGGCGCUUGAGAGAAGUAUGCUGAAGGAACUAGGCAAUUUGCCCUCGUAACUUCGGAAGAAGAGGGCCCAACCUACGCGCAAGCGUUGAUUGGGGGCACAGAGCAGGGGGUAGCGACUGUUUACUAAAAACACAGGACUCUGCGAAAUCCAAAGAUGACGUAUAGGGUCUGACGCCUGCCCGGUGCCGGAAGGUUAAGAGGAGAUGUGAAAGCGUCGAAUCGAAGCCCCGGUAAACGGCGGCCGUAACAAUAACGGUCCUAAGGUAGCGAAAUUCCUUGUCGGGUAAGUUCCGACCUGCACGAAAGGCGUAACGACUUCCCCACUGUCUCCAGCAUAUGCUCAGCGAAGUUGAAUUCCCCGUGAAGAUGCGGGGUACCCGCGGUCAGACGGAAAGACCCCGUGCACCUUUACUGCAGCUUUGCACUGGCAUUAGGGAUGGAUUGCGUAGGAUAGGUGGUAGGCUUUGAAGUCUAGGCUCUGGCUUGGAUGGAGCCACCCUUGAAAUACCACCCUGUUUGUUCCUGAUGUCUAACCGCGAUUCGAAACAGGGUCCGGAACCAUGCAUGGCGGGCAGUUUGACUGGGGCGGUCGCCUCCCAAAGAGUAACGGAGGCGCGCAAUGGUAAGCUCAGGCCGGUCGGAAAUCGGCUGUUGAGUGCAAUGGCACAAGCUUGCCUGACUGCAAGGCUGACAAGCCAAGCAGAGUCGAAAGACGGUCAUAGUGAUCCGGUGGUCCCGCGUGGAAGGGCCAUCGCUCAACGGAUAAAAGGUACGCCGGGGAUAACAGGCUGAUGAUCCCCAAGAGUCCAUAUCGACGGGAUCGUUUGGCACCUCGAUGUCGGCUCAUCACAUCCUGGGGCUGGAGCAGGUCCCAAGGGUAUGGCUGUUCGCCAUUUAAAGUGGUACGUGAGCUGGGUUUAGAACGUCGUGAGACAGUUCGGUCCCUAUCUGUCGUGGGUGUUCGAGACUUGAGAGGAUUUCUUCCUAGUACGAGAGGACCGGAAGGAACGCACCUCUGGUGGAUCGGUUGUCGCGCCAGCGGCACUGCCGAGUAGCUAUGUGCGGAAUAGAUAACCGCUGAAAGCAUCUAAGCGGGAAACUAACCUCAAAACCAGGUCUCGCUGAGAGCCGUGGAAGACUACCACGUUGAUAGGCUGGGCGUGUAAGCGCAGCAAUGCGUUGAGCUUACCAGUCCUAAUCGCUCAAA